Molecule: long non-coding RNA, 402 nt
Filed under: Elaeis guineensis (African oil palm)
Lineage: Eukaryota; Viridiplantae; Streptophyta; Magnoliopsida; Arecales; Arecaceae
Description: long non-coding RNA (EGUI_LNC070911)
Source: RNAcentral
UCUCAGGUCGGAGGGAUAUUUAUACCCAUAUUCCAUCGGAGCAAAUCUUGAUAGCAGAAAUAGCUCCGGAGUCGGUCACGUUCAGUGCAGAUGUACCCUUACAUCUCACCUAUAUGCCAUACCAGUGUCUCCACACUCAUUGGUUAAGAGGACAACCAACCUAUAUGGCACACAACGACCUAUGCUUGAUAAACAUUAUCGUCCUUGGUAACAACGUAUCAUUUGGUCGUAAACAGAUUUAAGGACUAAAUGACAAAUCCUCCUUUGUCGAGUCUAAAUAGUCCUAAGGACUUCACCACAACAUAGGAGUUCAUUAGAAGAUGAAAUAUUUUGUGAUGAAAAAUACCAAAAUAAUUUUUUAUUAAUUCAUAAUUUAUGUACAUAUACAAAAAUGAGCACAAC